GACGAACGCUGGCGGCGUGCUUAACACAUGCAAGUCGAACGGAAAGGCCCUGCUUUUGUGGGGUGCUCGAGUGGCGAACGGGUGAGUAACACGGGAGUAACCUGCCCUUGACUUUGGGAUAACUUCAGGAAACUGGGGCUAAUACCGGCUAGGAGCUCCUGCUGCAUGGUGGGGGUUGGAAAGUUUCGGCGGUUGGGGAUGGACUCGCGGCUUAUCAGCUUGUUGGUGGGGUAGUGGCUUACCAAGGCUUUGACGGGUAGCCGGCCUGAGAGGGUGACCGGCCACAUUGGGACUGAGAGACGGCCCAGACGCCUACGGGAGGCAGCAGUGGGGAAUAUGGCACAAUGGGCGGAAGCCUGAUGCAGCAACGCCGCGUGCGGGAUGACGGCCUUCGGGGUGUAAACCGCUUUCGCCUGUGACGAAGCGUGAGUGACGGUAAUGGGUAAAGAAGCACCGGCUAACUACGUG
Molecule: ribosomal RNA, 468 nt
Filed under: uncultured bacterium
Lineage: Bacteria
Description: partial 16S ribosomal RNA
Rfam family: Bacterial small subunit ribosomal RNA
Source: RNAcentral